Long non-coding RNA from Octodon degus (degu), 357 nucleotides. RefSeq lists it as uncharacterized. The transcript is spliced from 3 exons. Lineage: Eukaryota; Metazoa; Chordata; Mammalia; Rodentia; Octodontidae. The record is from RefSeq and is a predicted model, not a curated record.
CAACCCUCCUCUUCUUGGCUCAUGGAAGGCUUAUAAUUUUAUGGUAUUAAAUGUUGCGCAAUAUUGGAAGUGAAAAUAAAGCCAACUAAAGUUGUUAAGCUAAUGUGAGGCCUUAUGCUAAGCAGAUGGAAAGAUCCAUUGUUUUCCCUCCAGGGACUCUGAGUCUAGUGGGGAAGGCAGUCAAAUGCACGGAACUACAACAUCACAGAGGGAUUCUCUUCCAGGCCUGUGGGCACAAGCUGGGAUGUCCCAAAGGGUUUUGCUAUUCAGUUCAGCCUGACUUUGCGAUCUCUAUGUAGCUGAGCCUGGCCUUGAGCUCAUGGUGAUCCUGCUGCCUCAGCCUCCUAAGUGCUGGGG